RNAcentral lists this ribosomal RNA (253 nucleotides) under uncultured bacterium. RNAcentral describes it as "partial 16S ribosomal RNA". It matches the Rfam family "Bacterial small subunit ribosomal RNA", at positions 524 to 776 of the family's 1533-position model. The record is from RNAcentral.
UACGUAGGUCCCGAGCGUUGUCCGGAUUUAUUGGGCGUAAAGGGAACGCAGGCGGUCUUUUAAGUCUGAUGUGAAAGCCUUCGGCUUAACCGGAGUAGUGCAUUGGAAACUGGGAGACUUGAGUGCAGAAGAGGAGAGUGGAACUCCAUGUGUAGCGGUGAAAUGCGUAGAUAUAUGGAAGAACACCAGUGGCGAAAGCGGCUCUCUGGUCUGUAACUGACGCUGAGGUUCGAAAGCGUGGGUAGCAAACAGG